Long non-coding RNA from Carya illinoinensis, 1496 nucleotides. RefSeq lists it as uncharacterized. NCBI's taxonomy places the organism in Eukaryota, Viridiplantae, Streptophyta, Magnoliopsida, Fagales, Juglandaceae. The transcript is spliced from 5 exons. The record is from RefSeq and is a predicted model, not a curated record.
GGGAGGGAAAUCAAAUAACCCACAGCCGUGGACCGAACCGGUUGUUGCAGUCGCCAUUCGUCACACAGUUCAGAUCCGAGUUGCGAUCUUCGACAUGGGUUGGACUUGAUUUCCAGAUCUGAGUCGUAGUUCUUCAUAUAAUGCCAGUUACCAAUUUCAACAUGGCAUGGAAGGCUUGCUAUCUAUCAUCAAUGCAAGCUUCGUUACAAGAAGAUUUAUUGGUACACAAGAUAAUAGACCCACUGGUGGGGAAACUGAAUCGCCAUGUACAUCCUAUAGAGUUGAAGAAAGUAAUGCGGAUAGACUUGGACCCAGUUUAGUAGCAACUUACAGGGCAUUAUCGACUUGAACCCAUUUUUACUUAAGGCAGAUGGUACUUAAAGAUCUAUCUAGUAGAGGAUGAAGUUCGUUUCGAAAAAUUUACUAAGCUGGUUACACAUUUUGUGGACUUUAGUGAGGAAGAUGCAGCUACUAAGUGUUCUUGUGGUUCAUUUGAAAUGAGAGAGAUAGUGUGCCAACACAUCUUCGUCGUGUUCAAAUGUAACGGGAUUAAAUUUUUGCUAAAUAGGUACAUUUUGGAUCGAUAGAGAAAUGAUAUCAAAAGAAGAUACAUGUUAAUCCACAUCAGCUACAAUGUAAGGGAUCAACGUGUAGAUGUUAACAGAUAUUCAAGUCUGUUGAAUAUCUAUUAUAAGAUGAUUACUCAUGCAACGAGUUCGAAAGAGCAUACUGAGGAUGCAAAGACUAAGUUGGACGCAAUGAUUGACCUGUAUUCUGCCAACCAAAAACCCCCAUGGAUGAACCAAAAGUGUUCCAAUGUUGGUGGUGUGACAAAAGACAAAACUAUAGUUGGUAGUUCAACACAAGUACCCAGUCCACUUGUUAUGUGAGGGAAAGACAGAUCCCAUCUAUGAGGAGAGCAUCCAGGAUGAAGAGAGACCUGCGGAAAGUUAAGGAGAAGAUGAAGUAAGCGCAGGGAAAGGAAAAAUGCAAACAGUGAGAUGGAGAAUAUACACCAGUCGUGGACACUUGCAGUAAUUUAUUUGGCCAUUUCAAUAUGGAUAUGUCCAAUGUUGGACAUGUGCAGGCUAUUCUAGAAAGCAUACCAGUUGUUGAAAUUAGUGGAACCCAGUCCCGAGAAACAAUAAUUCAAAGUCAAGAAAGUAUGCAAUUUAGGUUGGACGGAUCACAAUCGCUCACGUUGAGUUUAAUGGAUCACAAUCACGACAAUGAUAUGAUCACAAUCACGACAAUGAUAUGAUUAUCGUGGAUAUGUUUUUUAUAAUACUAACAUUUAUAUGGUUUUUAAAAAAUUUAGGGUUGUUGUGGUUAACUUGUUUAUUUGAAAUGCUUUGCAUGAGGAUGGAGGGGCUUUGGAUUGAGAUUAUUUCUGAUGAAGUUAUGCAUGGGAGGAUGUCAUGGUUGGUUAUAAAUUAAUUCAAUAUUGAAUACAUUAAGGGACUACUGGCAUGAAUGGCCAGUUAAAUUUCUUGCAA